CUUUUUAAAACCAGAAGUACAUCCCCCCUGAAAUAACUUGGAAACCUCCUCGUUGUGAAGUCUACAGGGACGUCAAAAAACCACAGCUAUCUGUUCCCCAGCUGUAUCUUCUUCUUUAUCCCUUGGAACAUUUGUAGCUGCACUUCCUACAAGAAGGGACCAUUUGUAAUCAUGAGCAAAGAUUGAUUCAACAUUUUACUGAAGGUAAGUCCCAUGAUGUCUAUGGACUUCAGUUUCCAGACAUGAAAUGCAAGAGGCUUGGAUGAGUUAGAAAUCAAGAAUUUGAAUGCGUAUGGUCAGAGCCAUGAGGAAUGCUCUACUGGACAGUCAGCUUUUGGGGGGUAAGCAAUUCAUCCUAAUUAUUUUUGUGUUCCUAACAUA
Long non-coding RNA from Cercocebus atys (sooty mangabey), 381 nucleotides. RefSeq lists it as uncharacterized. The transcript has 3 exons. Lineage: Eukaryota; Metazoa; Chordata; Mammalia; Primates; Cercopithecidae. The record is from RefSeq and is a predicted model, not a curated record.